Molecule: long non-coding RNA, 1263 nt
Filed under: Homo sapiens (human)
Lineage: Eukaryota; Metazoa; Chordata; Mammalia; Primates; Hominidae
Description: uncharacterized LOC105375387, transcript variant 2 (LOC105375387)
Source: RNAcentral
UGUAUUCUGCUAUGUCUACUGGGAGAAUACACUAGUGGGGAUAGUUCUGUGUAUACAGUGAUUAAGCACAUAGGUUCUGGAGCCAGUCUGUUUCUUUCAAAAUCACCUCAUUGCUUUUGAAGAAUCAGGGAAACCCCCAUGAGACUACAGGUGUGAAGCAAGAUAGAAGCAUCAGUGCAAAAGAGAUUCUCUUACUGAGAUACCUUGGAACAUGGUUUGAAUAAUAUUGCUCUAACUUCUUUCAUGUCAGGAAGCUCUGAGUUGCCAUAGACUUGCGGAAAUGCCUGCUACAUACAUGCGUGUUGAACAAUGAACUUCAUAACUGACAUAUUUAUCAGAGAAUCAGGAUGAGAGAAGAUGCAGAAACACAGAAAGGAAGAGGAUUAGCAACUUUCCCAGAUCUGAGUUGAGCUGAGAUUUGAGUCAAGGCAAUAUUGCUUCUGGGGCUGUAACAACUACAUUUUAUUGUCUCCUGAACAGAUACUUCCUUUUCUUACUUAAUAAGAAUAGACCUUGGAGGUCUGGACCUGGACAUGAACGUACACUUUUCUAAAGAAGAUAUACACAUGGCCAACAAGCAUGUGAAAAAAAGCUCAAUAUCACUGAUCAUUAGAGAAAUGCAAAUGAAAAUCACAAUGAGAGACCAUCUCACACCAGUCAGAAUGGCUAUUAUUAAAAACUCAAAAAAUAACAGAUGCUGGCGAGGUUGCAGAGAAAAGGGAACACUUAUACACUGUUGGUGGGAGUGUAAAUUAGUUCAACUAUUGUGUAAAGCAAUAUGUCAAUUCCUCAAAGAGCUAAAAAAGAACUACCAUUGGACUCAGCAAUCCCAUUACUGGGUAUAUACUCAGAGGAAUAUAAGUCACUCUACUAUAAACACACACGCAUGCAAAUUUUCAUUGUAGCACUAUUUACAAUAGCAAAGACAUGGAAUCAACCUAAAUGCUCAUCAAUGACAGAUCGGAUAAAGAAAAUAUGCAUCUUCAACCUUUCUGGACUACAGCACCUGCCAACUGACCCCCACAUCAUGGCUCCAACGCUGGCUUCAUCACAUAUCUUCUCUCUCAGUCCCUUUGGCUCUCAGGGUGCAAUAGCUUAACAAAAUUGCUGAUCUAGGUGCCUCAGCAUUGUUUCUUUGUCAUAGUCUCUGUAUUAUCUUAUUUUGAGCCAUUCUUUUCCUGCAAAGAUCCUAACUGAAUGAGAUAACUACUUCAUAAGCUAUUUGUAAGGUUUAAAUAAAUUAAUGCAUAUUUAAUACAUGAA